Molecule: ribosomal RNA, 497 nt
Filed under: uncultured bacterium
Lineage: Bacteria
Description: partial 16S ribosomal RNA
Rfam family: Bacterial small subunit ribosomal RNA
Source: RNAcentral
GAUGAACGCUGGCGGCGUGCCUAAUACAUGCAAGUCGAGCGAACAGACGAGGAGCUUGCUCCUCUGACGUUAGCGGCGGACGGGUGAGUAACACGUGGAUAACCUACCUAUAAGACUGGGAUAACUUCGGGAAACCGGAGCUAAUACCGGAUAAUAUAUUGAACCGCAUGGUUCAAUAGUGAAAGACGGUUUUGCUGUCACUUAUAGAUGGAUCCGCGCCGCAUUAGCUAGUUGGUAAGGUAACGGCUUACCCAGGCAACGAUGCGUAGCCGACCUGAGAGGGUGAUCCGCCACCCUGGAACUGAGACACGGUCCAGACUCCGACGGGAGGCAGCAGUAGGGAAUCUUCCGCGAUGGGCGAAAGCCUGACGGAGCAACGCCGCGUGAGUGAUGAAGGUCUUCGGAUCGUAAAACUCUGUUAUUAGGGAAGAACAAAUGUGUUAGUAACUAUGCACGUCUUGACGGUACCUAAUCAGAAAGCCACGGCUAACUACGUG